UGUUACACUUUAUAUGAAUUAUAAUAUUACCUGGGUAUUAAACAGUUAUUGUCUUGAAACUCAAAGGAUUUGGCGGUAACUUAGUCUAUUUAGAGGAACCUGUCCUGUAAUCGAUAGUCCACGAAAAAUCUUACUUUAUCUUGUAGAAAACAGUUUGUAUACCGUCAUUAUUAGAUAACUUUAAUAAAAUCUAAAGUUGUUGAAAGAGUUUGGCUAAUAUAUUAGAUCAAGGUGCAGCUUAUGUUAAAGGAAGAGAUGGGUUACAAUAUAAUAAUUAUAAACGGAGUAAUAAGUGAAUGUUUAUUAUUGAAGGUGGAUUUAAAAGUAAAAAGACUUUAAUAAGGUCUUUUGACUUUAGCUCUAGGUUAU
RNAcentral lists this ribosomal RNA (369 nucleotides) under Penaeus isabelae. RNAcentral describes it as "partial 12S ribosomal RNA". The record is from RNAcentral. Lineage: Eukaryota; Metazoa; Arthropoda; Malacostraca; Decapoda; Penaeidae.